AGAUUGAACGCUGGCGGCAUGCCUAACACAUGCAAGUCGAGCGGCAGCGCGGGGGCGACCCUGGCGGCGAGCGGCGGACGGGUGAGUAAGGCAUCGGAAUCUGCCCUGAUGUGGGGGAUAACCAACCGAAAGGUUGGCUAAUACCGCAUAAGUCCUACGGGGGAAAGCGGGGGAUCGAAAGACCUCGCGCCGGUGGAUGAGCCUACGUCCGAUUAGUUAGUUGGUGGGGUAAAGGCCUACCAAGGCUACGAUCGGUAGCUGGUCUGAGAGGAUGAUCAGCCACACUGGGACUGAGACACGGCCCAGACUCCUACGGGAGGCAGC
This 324-nucleotide ribosomal RNA is filed under the name uncultured prokaryote. Its description in RNAcentral is "bacterial SSU rRNA". It matches the Rfam family "Bacterial small subunit ribosomal RNA", at positions 26 to 352 of the family's 1533-position model. The record is from RNAcentral.